AACGAACGCUGGCGGCAUGCCUAACACAUGCAAGUCGAACGAUUGCCUUCGGGUGAUAGUGGCGCACGGGUGCGUAACGCGUGCGAAUCUGCCCUUAGGUUCGGAAUAACAGCUGGAAACGGCUGCUAAUACCGGAUGAUAUCGCGAGAUCAAAGAUUUAUCGCCUGAGGAUGAGCCCGCGUUGGAUUAGGUAGUUGGUGGGGUAAAGGCCUACCAAGCCGACGAUCCAUAGCUGGUCUGAGAGGAUGAUCAGCCACACUGGGACUGAGACACGGCCCAGACUCCUACGGGAGGCAGCAGUGGGGAAUAUUGGACAAUGGGCGCAAGCCUGAUCCAGCAAUGCCGCGUGAGUGAUGAAGGCCCUAGGGUUGUAAAGCUCUUUUACCCGGGAAGAUAAUGACUGUACCGGGAGAAUAAGCCCCGGCUAACUCCGUG
RNAcentral lists this ribosomal RNA (435 nucleotides) under uncultured bacterium. RNAcentral's name for it is "partial 16S ribosomal RNA". It matches the Rfam family "Bacterial small subunit ribosomal RNA", at positions 29 to 507 of the family's 1533-position model. The record is from RNAcentral.